AUCACAAACGAGCUCCAGCAUGGAGCGAAAGGGAGAGGCUGGAUCUGAUUGCCGUAUGGGGAGAAGAAUCUGUGCAGGCAGAACUCCGAUCCAAAAGAAGAAAUGCAAAUAUAUUUGCCAAAAUCUUACAGGGCAUGUUGGACAGAGGCUGCAACAGGGACACACAGCAGUGCCACGUGAAAGUCAAGGAGCUCAGGCAAGCCUACCAAAAGACAAAGGAGGCAAACGCUCACUCUGGACAGAGACCCAG
Long non-coding RNA from Chelonia mydas (Green sea turtle), 250 nucleotides. RefSeq lists it as uncharacterized. The transcript is spliced from 4 exons. The record is from RefSeq and is a predicted model, not a curated record. Lineage: Eukaryota; Metazoa; Chordata; Testudines; Cheloniidae.